This 822-nucleotide ribosomal RNA is filed under the name uncultured organism. Its description in RNAcentral is "SSU rRNA". It matches the Rfam family "Bacterial small subunit ribosomal RNA", at positions 639 to 1475 of the family's 1533-position model. The record is from RNAcentral.
AUCUUGAGUGCAGUUGAGGCAGGCGGAAUUCGUGGUGUAGCGGUGAAAUGCUUAGAUAUCACGAAGAACUCCGAUUGCGAAGGCAGCCUGCUAAGCUGCAACUGACAUUGAGGCUCGAAAGUGUGGGUAUCAAACAGGAUUAGAUACCCUGGUAGUCCACACGGUAAACGAUGAAUACUCGCUGUUUGCGAUAUACGGCAAGCGGCCAAGCGAAAGCGUUAAGUAUUCCACCUGGGGAGUACGCCGGCAACGGUGAAACUCAAAGGAAUUGACGGGGGCCCGCACAAGCGGAGGAACAUGUGGUUUAAUUCGAUGAUACGCGAGGAACCUUACCCGGGCUUAAAUUGCAGAUGAAUUACGGUGAAAGCCGUAAGCCGCAAGGCAUCUGUGAAGGUGCUGCAUGGUUGUCGUCAGCUCGUGCCGUGAGGUGUCGGCUUAAGUGCCAUAACGAGCGCAACCCUUGUUGUCAGUUACUAACAGGUUUUGCUGAGGACCCUGACAAGACUGCCAUCGUAAGAUGUGAGGAAGGUGGGGAUGACGUCAAAUCAGCACGGCCCUUACGUCCGGGGCUACACACGUGUUACAAUGGGGGGUACAGAGGGCCGCUACCACGCGAGUGGAUGCCAAUCCCCAAAACCUCUCUCAGUUCGGACUGGAGUUUGCAACCCGACUCCACGAAGCUGGAUUCGCUAGUAAUCGCGCAUCAGCCACGGCGCGGUGAAUACGUUCCCGGGCCUUGUACACACCGCCCGUCAAGCCAUGGGAGCCGGGGGUACCUGAAGUGCGUAACCGCGAGGAGCGCCCUAGGGUAAAACUGGUGAC